GCAGUGGUGGUUCACUGGUGGAAUUCCUGGCUUCCACGUGGGAGACCCGAGUUUAAUCCCCGGCCGGUGCA
RNAcentral lists this transfer RNA (71 nucleotides) under Loxodonta africana (African savanna elephant). It matches the Rfam family "tRNA". Rfam says of the family: Transfer RNA (tRNA) molecules are approximately 80 nucleotides in length. Their secondary structure includes four short double-helical elements and three loops (D, anti-codon, and T loops). The record is from Rfam by way of RNAcentral. Lineage: Eukaryota; Metazoa; Chordata; Mammalia; Proboscidea; Elephantidae.